Molecule: non-coding RNA, 22 nt
Filed under: Arabidopsis thaliana (thale cress)
Lineage: Eukaryota; Viridiplantae; Streptophyta; Magnoliopsida; Brassicales; Brassicaceae
Source: RNAcentral
CAAAAAAGUGUCUAUCUCUCUA